UACGUAGGGGGCAAGCGUUGUCCGGAAUCAUUGGGCGUAAAGCGUGUGUAGGCGGCUUGGCAAGUUGGAUGUGAAAGCCCACGGCUCAACCGUGGAAGCGCACCCAAAACUGCUUCGCUCGAGUCUCGGAGAGGAAGGUGGAAUGCUUGGUGUAGAGGUGAAAUUCGUAGAUAUCAAGCAGAACACCUGCGGCGAAGGCGGCCUUCUGGACGAUGACUGACGCUGAGACACGAAAGCGUGGGGAGCAAACAGG
Molecule: ribosomal RNA, 253 nt
Filed under: uncultured bacterium
Lineage: Bacteria
Description: partial 16S ribosomal RNA
Rfam family: Bacterial small subunit ribosomal RNA
Source: RNAcentral